This 253-nucleotide ribosomal RNA is filed under the name uncultured bacterium. RNAcentral describes it as "partial 16S ribosomal RNA". It matches the Rfam family "Bacterial small subunit ribosomal RNA", at positions 524 to 776 of the family's 1533-position model. The record is from RNAcentral.
UACGUAGGGGGCUAGCGUUGUCCGGAAUCAUUGGGCGUAAAGCGCGCGUAGGCGGCCAGAUAAGUCCGGUGUGAAAGUCAAAGGCUCAACCUUUGAAUGCCGCUGGAAACUGUCUGGCUUGAGUCCGGAAGGGGCGAGUGGAAUUCCUGGUGUAGCGGUGAAAUGCGCAGAUAUCAGGAGGAACACCGGUGGCGAAGGCGGGUCUCUGGGCCGAUACUGACGCUGAGGAGCGAAAGCGUGGGGAGCGAACAGG